AAGAGAUGUUGCAAGAAACAGAG
This 23-nucleotide non-coding RNA is filed under the name Arabidopsis thaliana (thale cress). Lineage: Eukaryota; Viridiplantae; Streptophyta; Magnoliopsida; Brassicales; Brassicaceae. The record is from RNAcentral.